AACGAACGCUGGCGGCAUGCCUAACACAUGCAAGUCGAACGAGCCCUUCGGGUCUAGUGGCGCACGGGUGCGUAACGCGUGGGAACCUUCCCUUAGGUUCGGAAUAACUCCCCGAAAGGGGUGCUAAUACCGGAUAAUGUCUUCGAACCAAAGAUUUAUCGCCUUUGGAUGGUCCCGCGUUGGAUUAGCUAGUUGUUAGGGUAAAAGCCUACCAAGGCGCCGAUCCAUAGCUGGUCUGAGAGGAUGAUCAGCCACACUGGGACUGAGACACGGCCCAGACUCCUACGGGAGGCAGCAGUGGGGAAUAUUGGACAAUGGGCGAAAGCCUGAUCCAGCAAUGCCGCGUGAGUGAUGAAGGCCGUAGGGUUGUAAAGCUCUUUUAACCGGGAUGAUAAUGACAGUACCGGGAGAAUAAGCUACGGCUAACUCCGUG
This 433-nucleotide ribosomal RNA is filed under the name uncultured bacterium. RNAcentral describes it as "partial 16S ribosomal RNA". It matches the Rfam family "Bacterial small subunit ribosomal RNA", at positions 29 to 507 of the family's 1533-position model. The record is from RNAcentral.